RNAcentral lists this ribosomal RNA (510 nucleotides) under uncultured bacterium. RNAcentral's name for it is "partial 16S ribosomal RNA". It matches the Rfam family "Bacterial small subunit ribosomal RNA", at positions 28 to 507 of the family's 1533-position model. The record is from RNAcentral.
GACGAACGCUGGCGGCGUGCUUAACACAUGCAAGUCGAACGAAGAGCGAUGGAAGCUUGCUUCUAUCAAUCUUAGUGGCGAACGGGUGAGUAACGCGUAAUCAACCUGCCCUUCAGAGGGGGACAACAGUUGGAAACGACUGCUAAUACCGCAUACGAUCUAAUCUCGGCAUCGAGGAUAGAUGAAAGGUGGCCUCUACAUGUAAGCUAUCACUGAAGGAGGGGAUUGCGUCUGAUUAGCUAGUUGGAGGGGUAACGGCCCACCAAGGCGAUGAUCAGUAGCCGGUCUGAGAGGAUGAACGGCAACAUUGGGACUGAGACACGGCCCAGACUCCUACGGGAGGCAGCAGUGGGGAAUCUUCCGCAAUGGACGAAAGUCUGACGGAGCAACGCCGCGUGAGUGAUGACGGCCUUCGGGUUGUAAAGCUCUGUUAAUCGGGACGAAAGGCCUUCUUGCGAAUAGUGAGAAGGAUUGACGGUACCGUAAUAGAAAGCCACGGCUAACUACGUG